RNAcentral lists this long non-coding RNA (708 nucleotides) under Dasypus novemcinctus (nine-banded armadillo). Its description in RNAcentral is "lncRNA (ENSDNOG00000050198.1)". The record is from RNAcentral. Lineage: Eukaryota; Metazoa; Chordata; Mammalia; Cingulata; Dasypodidae.
GGAAUCAAACCUCCUUUGUCGUGAUUACAUCCUAGUGCCUUCCAGAGUGGUUAACACCACCACAACCGGAAAACAACUGACACAUACGUGGUAGUUACUGAAUACUAAGCACUGUUCUAAGAACUUUCCAUAUAGUAACUCAUUAAAAUCCCAACAACCCUUUUAGGUAGGUGUUGUUAUUAUGCCCAUUCUAUAGCUGAGAAACCCAAAACCCAGAGCCUUCCCUUUUAGCCAUCACCCUAUACUGCCCUGGCACAGCAAAUAUUCGUUGACUAGUUUAGCAUCAUCAGAAAAUGAGUUAUACUACAUAACUGAAUUUCCAGGUAACUGAAAUAUAGUUCCAGAACUUAAAAUGCAUAAUAGUGCCUUUUGGCAAAAAUCUUUUUAGCAAGUCAUACUCCUCUUCCUCCUUAAACAUUUUUACCUUCUCUUAAUUAUCUCAGAUUGUUUCUGUGAGCACCAGCUAUUGUAUUAUUACCAUCUGCCCAUAAGGGUAAGAGAUGGGGAGCAAUUGAGAUAUGAGACAAGACUGGAUAAUCAGUAGACAGAAGACUAAAAAUAAAAAGGUUUCUGUUAUCACUGUGUACAGAUGACUAUAUAGAAGUCCCCAUAUUUGGAGAUAAGCACUUUGCUUCUCUGUUGAAUCAGACAUGUAAGUACAAUGGGGGCUGGUGGGAGAAGGGCUUGAUUAGAAGAAAAAAAAAAUAU